GUUCUUGGCAUAGGCUUCUGGAGACCUGGGCUGGGCAAGUGGGGCACAAGUGUGUUGGGGAGCAAGCUCUCUAGGCUGAUUACCAGGGCUUUAAACUAGGUUUGACGGGGGAAAGGAGGGGAGCUAAAAGUGACAGAGGAGGGCUGGGGGAAGUUGUCACUGCUGUCACUGUUGAAGAUAGUAGGGAAAAACCUCUCAGUUGGCCCAUAGUAUUGUCUGAGGGCUCCUCAGAGAAGGUAACAAUCCUGAUCCCCUGUCCGGAAUCUUCUUCUUGCAUCCCUCCAGGGGUAAC
Molecule: long non-coding RNA, 292 nt
Organism: Oxyura jamaicensis (ruddy duck)
Lineage: Eukaryota; Metazoa; Chordata; Aves; Anseriformes; Anatidae
Exons: 3
Source: RefSeq, a predicted model, not a curated record